GAUGAACGCUAGCUACAGGCUUAACACAUGCAAGUCGAGGGGCAGCAUGGUCUUAGCUUGCUAAGGCCGAUGGCGACCGGCGCACGGGUGAGUAACACGUAUCCAACCUGCCGUCUACUCUUGGACAGCCUUCUGAAAGGAAGAUUAAUACAAGAUGGCAUCAUGAGUCCGCAUGUUCACAUGAUUAAAGGUAUUCCGGUAGACGAUGGGGAUGCGUUCCAUUAGAUAGUAGGCGGGGUAACGGCCCACCUAGUCUUCGAUGGAUAGGGGUUCUGAGAGGAAGGUCCCCCACAUUGGAACUGAGACACGGUCCAAACUCCUACGGGAGGCAGCAGUGAGGAAUAUUGGUCAAUGGGCGAGAGCCUGAACCAGCCAAGUAGCGUGAAGGAUGACUGCCCUAUGGGUUGUAAACUUCUUUUAUAAAGGAAUAAAGUCGGGUAUGGAUACCCGUUUGCAUGUACUUUAUGAAUAAGGAUCGGCUAACUCCGUGCCAGCAGCCGCGGUA
RNAcentral lists this ribosomal RNA (505 nucleotides) under uncultured bacterium. RNAcentral describes it as "bacterial SSU rRNA". It matches the Rfam family "Bacterial small subunit ribosomal RNA", at positions 28 to 522 of the family's 1533-position model. The record is from RNAcentral.